Molecule: ribosomal RNA, 650 nt
Filed under: uncultured fungus
Lineage: Eukaryota; Fungi
Description: eukaryotic LSU rRNA
Rfam family: Eukaryotic large subunit ribosomal RNA
Source: RNAcentral
CCCGCUGAACUUAAGCAUAUCAAUAAGCGGAGGAAAAGAAACCAACAGGGAUUGCCUCAGUAACGGCGAGUGAAGCGGCAACAGCUCAAAUUUGAAAUCUGGCUCCCUCGGGGCCCGAGUUGUAAUUUGUAGAAGAUGCUUCGGGUGUGGUUCUGGUCUAAGUUCCUUGGAACAGGACGUCAUAGAGGGUGAGAAUCCCGUAUGUGACCUGGUACCUAUGCCCAUGUGAAGCUCUUUCAACGAGUCGAGUUGUUUGGGAAUGCAGCUCAAAACGGGUGGUAAAUUUCAUCUAAAGCUAAAUACUGGCCGGGGAGCGAUAGCGAACAAGUACCGUGAGGGAAAGAUGAAAAGAACUUUGGAAAGAGAGUUAAACAGUACGUGAAAUUGUUGAAAGGGAAACGCUUGAAGUCAGUCACGUUGGCCAGAAAUCAACUUGUAACAGGGCGUAAUUUCUGGUUUUACGGGUCAACAUCAAUUUUGAUUGUUGGAUAAAAGUCAAUAUUUAUGUGUUUUCGGACGUGUAGCCUUUGAUUGCAUACAAUGGUUGGGAUUGAGGAACUCAGCACGCCGCAAGGCCGGGUAACUUGUUACCACGUAACGUGCUUAGGAUGUUGGCAUAAUGGCUUUAAUCGACCCGUCUUGAAACACGG